UACGUAGGGGGCGAGCGUUGUCCGGAUUUACUGGGCGUAAAGAGCGCGUAGGCGGUCUGAAGAGUCGGCUGUGAAAUCUCUGGGCCCAACCCAGAGGGGUCGGCCGAGACCUUUGGACUCGAGGGUGGUAGAGGAAGGUGGAAUUCCGGGUGUAGUGGUGAAAUGCGUAGAGAUCCGGAGGAACACCAGUGGCGAAGGCGGCCUUCUGGGCCAUACCUGACGCUGAGGCGCGAAAGCGUGGGGAGCGAACCGAAUUAGAUACUCGGGUAGUCCACGCCCUAAACGAUGGACGCUAGGUGUCGGGGGUAUCGACCCCUCCGGUGCCCGAGCGAACGCAGUAAGCGUCCCGCCUGGGGAGUACGGCCGCAAGGCUAAA
Molecule: ribosomal RNA, 376 nt
Filed under: uncultured bacterium
Lineage: Bacteria
Description: bacterial SSU rRNA
Rfam family: Bacterial small subunit ribosomal RNA
Source: RNAcentral